Molecule: long non-coding RNA, 1219 nt
Filed under: Homo sapiens (human)
Lineage: Eukaryota; Metazoa; Chordata; Mammalia; Primates; Hominidae
Description: HSALNT0303697
Source: RNAcentral
UAUGACAAGUUGCCAAGAUAUAGAAGUGAAGCUUGCUUCCUAUCAUAAGAUAUACCAUGAGAAGAAGAGCCAGACCUUGAUUUCAUGCGAGAAGGUGGAGUAGGAGGAAGAGAAGGAGGAGAGUUAGAAGGAGUAGGAGGAGGAGGAAAACCUCCUGCAGGCUCGUCUGAGUAUAUUCCUAGGUGAUGGCAGAGGGGCAAGAAAGCAAGCAAAAAGAAGCACAGAAGCCCUCUCAUGGCCAAAACUGGCUUGGUGUCACUUUUACCUCAUUCUAUUGGUCAAAAAAAGUCAACAGGCUGAGCCCAGAGUCAGAGUGGGAGAGUACUGCAUGGUUACAUGACAGAGGAUGUGGAUAUGAGGAAUCGUGAAGAACUGCAUCCAUUAGAGCCAUCUGUCACAGAAGGGACUAUUGUCAUUUUACUAAUUUUGUACAUGAGGAUAGGGAAGCAUGGAGAUGGUAACAUGCCUAAAGUCACAUAGCUUCUUAGCUGUGGAACCAGAAAGUAAACCUGGGCCUUCUGGGCCCAGGGCCCGUGGCUGUUAAAACCACUGUGCACACUGCCUUACUCCUACCCUUCACAAUCAGGUUUCUGCUCUGACCACCCUAGAAAACAUGCCCGUCUCAGGUUACCGAUGCUCUCCUAUGGACAGAUCCAAUAGCCUUUGUUAAUUGUCCACAUCUCUAUCCAUUCUGUAAUACUCCUGCAUGCUGCAUCCUUGGAGUUCUUUUCUCCUUUGAUUCUGCAGAACCUGUACUGUUUUGUUUCUCUUUCUGGCUUCCUCUGUCUGUCUCUCUUCACCAACUACAUAAUGCAUUCACUUCUUUUUCUUGGCAUCUCCCUUUCCAAGCACACCCACUCUCCUGGUUUCCAUUAUCUCCCUGCAGACAACUCUCAACUGGCUCUAAGAAAGCUCACUAUAAUUUUCAGCAACCUAAUUCAGUCGUUUGUCCGUCACAAAUAACAGCUCAGGAAAAUCAAAGGAUUUUCUCACUAGCAUCUUAUCAUUCCAUGUCACCUAGCAACUAUCCCAGUGCUUGAUAUUCUGCUACUAGAAACUCCCUACUACACAGAUAAUACCACUGGAAGGUAUAAAGCCACUUGACUGACCUCUCUCCAUUCACAGCAUUUAUAACUGUAAGAAAUUGCCAGUGGUUGACUCUUUCCGACCUUCGAAAGUGGCAAUUUCAUGUGGUUCAGCUUAAUAGUAUUUAUUACCU